GCGGGGGUGCCCGAGUCUGGCCAAACACAGACGUCUUAAAAACCCCCUGAUUCAUAUUCAAACCUAGGCGUCGUGGGCUAAAGGGGCACGGUUGAGGACGGCGAAGCAAUCUUCGGUCCUUACUUGCUUUGCAAGCAAAUGCCGUGUGGCGUAGGCCUUCGCGAGUUCAAGUCUCGUCCCCCGCA
This 185-nucleotide transfer RNA is filed under the name Candidatus Altarchaeales archaeon. RNAcentral describes it as "Candidatus Altiarchaeales archaeon tRNA-OTHER". Lineage: Archaea; Nanobdellati; Candidatus Altarchaeota; Candidatus Altarchaeia; Candidatus Altarchaeales. The record is from RNAcentral. RNAcentral also lists the same sequence under 1 other name.